GAAGGUGGCAAGCGUUAUUCGGAUUUACUGGGCAUAAAGCGCGCGUAGGCGGCUUGGCAAGUCGGGGGUGAAAGCCCGCAGCUCAACUGCGGAACUGCCUUCGAUACUGCCGGGCUUGAGGGCGGGAGGGGUGAUUGGAACUCCAGGUGUAGCGGUGAAAUGCGUAGAUAUCUGGAGGAACACCGGAGGCGAAGGCGAAUCACUGGACCGCUUCUGACGCUGAGGCGCGAAAGCUAGGGGAGCAAACAGGAUUAGAUACCCUGGUAGUCCUAGCUGUAAACGAUGGGCACUAGGCAGUGGAGGUCCGAUGCCGUCACUGUCGGAGUAAAUAUGUUAAGUGCCCCGCCUGGGGAGUACGGCCGCAAGGCUGAA
Molecule: ribosomal RNA, 372 nt
Filed under: uncultured bacterium
Lineage: Bacteria
Description: bacterial SSU rRNA
Rfam family: Bacterial small subunit ribosomal RNA
Source: RNAcentral